GUGACAAUAAAUACUAAUACAGGUGGUUUUAUGCCUCUUGUAAUUGGAAUGAGUACAAUUUAAAUCUCUUAACGAGGAACAAUUGGAGGGCAAGUCUGGUGCCAGCAGCCGCGGUAAUUCCAGCUCCAAUAGCGUAUAUUAAAGUUGUUGCAGUUAAAAAGCUCGUAGUUGAACCUUGGACCUGSCCAACCGGUCUACCUCACCGUAUGCACUGGUUGGUCGGGUCUUUCCUUCUGGCAAACUGCAUGCCCUUCACUGGGUGUGUUUGGGAACCAGGACUUUUACUUUGAAAAAAUUAGAGUGUUCAAAGCAGGCAUUAGCUCGAAUACAUUAGCAUGGAAUAAUAGAAUAGGACGUGUGGUUCUAUUUUGUUGGUUUCUAGGACCACCGUAAUGAUUAAUAGGGAUAGUCGGGGG
Molecule: ribosomal RNA, 416 nt
Filed under: Legaliana badia
Lineage: Eukaryota; Fungi; Ascomycota; Pezizomycetes; Pezizales; Pezizaceae
Description: SSU rRNA
Rfam family: Eukaryotic small subunit ribosomal RNA
Source: RNAcentral